CCCCUUUAUAAUAAAAAUGAUUGAUAAAAAUUCAAUAUUUAUACACCACCCCUAAUCCCCAUCCUCUCUCAUCUCUCUUGGGCGGCCGAAAAUUGCUUUCGCCGCCCACUGUCCUCCUUCCGCCUUCACGCCACGGUGGACCACCGUCUAACCGCCGCCGAAAAUUGUCACGGCGGCGGACCACUGCCAAUUGGCUAAAAUUUUCACCAGAUACUCCUCACUCCUCCUCGUCCCUAAUUUCUCAACCAUUUUCGCAAAAAUCCACCCAAACUCCACGAUUAGUAGACCUGAGAAUUUAAGAAAAACUGAAAUUGCCCCUUUCUUGAUUCCUCUUCAAUUCUUACUUGUCUAAGGUUAAAAUUCACACUAAUCGACAUCUCUUGAUGAGUAUUGUCGAUUGGUGGUGGUUUCGUCUCAUUUCGUGGCCAUCGGGGCCCGAUCAAAUUCUGGUAGACCUGCCAGUCCUCUCAAAGCUUCUUCGUUCAUCACCUCCAGCAUGCAGGAGCUAUUGCUACAUAUAGCACUGGCCGGCAUGACAAAUUUUGGUUGGUGCUUGUGUAGCAAUCCUCCGGCUCAUCGGAAUUUCCUCUUGACAGCUCGGUUUAAUCCAAUAGGUUGAAUGAAGAGUUUAAACUUGUACGAGUCAAAGGCAUCAGGAGAUAUGAAUUGUACCCGGAAAACAUCAAAGGAAAUCGCCCCCAGACAACAUUCAAUGCGGAUGCCGUCAAAAGUUACUAUGUUUGACCCAUUACUCAGUGUAACAAUUCCCUGGUUGAGAUAACGAAGGCUUUUAUUUUUCACUACCCAAAACACCAUUAAUUCUUUUGCCAAGCCUUUGGGCCGGUUAUCUUUCUUUAUUUACCCUCUUUGGAACCUUAUUGUAAAAAGAAAAGAAGAAGAAGAAAACUGAUAUAUUCAAAAGGCACCCAGCCUCGGCAAAGACAUCAAGUCAACCCCGACUGGCCAUGAUUGGCAGAUGCUUUGAAAUUGAGAACUUUGGAAGAAAUAAAUCAAAUUGAAAUGCCCACAAAGGCAAAAUAAAAUUGAAAAGGUUAAGUCCCGUCCGACUAACCAUCACGAUAAAGGUUUGAAAAGCUAAAAGUGUCCCAGGGCCAGGAAGUCAAUUGGUAAUCCGAAAAUAACCGGCCGCAGUCGAAAUCAUCAUCAAAAGAAGAUGGGCCGAGAUCAAGAGUCUGAAGCACUCAAGGCCACAAAACCAACCACUGGUCCGAACUAAAAAUUGUUCUUUGUUGAGAUACACGAAACAGGUACAAUGCAAAGACAACCUUGAAAGAAGCAGGUACAACCAAAAAUAAUCAUGCGGAGAUUGAAAACAGCUCUACAACACAAAAACCCACAAAAAAAACGAAAGUCUUCUUAAAGUUCUUUCCCACAUUUCGCUCAUAUUUUAACUGCAUUCACAAUCAUGCUAGUAUAGAGCACACCAAUCCCUAUAUGCAUUUUUCAACAUAGGGCACAUCAUACCCUAGUUGAUGAUCUUAAAUGUAGGGUAAGGGUGGCAAGUGGGCCGGUCCAAACGGUCCCGGUCCCGGAUCGGUCCCAAAUUAAACGGGCUAAACGGUCCCGGCCCGCGGGCUAAAUAGGCUAAGUGGGCUAAGUGGGCCCAACGAAUUUUUAAAAAAUAAAAAAAAUAAAUAGAUAUUAGAU
Long non-coding RNA from Nicotiana tabacum (common tobacco), 1668 nucleotides. RefSeq lists it as uncharacterized. Lineage: Eukaryota; Viridiplantae; Streptophyta; Magnoliopsida; Solanales; Solanaceae. The record is from RefSeq and is a predicted model, not a curated record.